RNAcentral lists this long non-coding RNA (594 nucleotides) under Pongo abelii (Sumatran orangutan). Its description in RNAcentral is "lincRNA". The record is from RNAcentral. Lineage: Eukaryota; Metazoa; Chordata; Mammalia; Primates; Hominidae.
GCUUGGCUCUUAAGAUGCGUGUCUGCCGCCGCUCCCAGCCAAAUAAAAAACCUCUUCCUUCUUUAAUCCAGUGUCUGAGGAGUUUUGUCUGCGACUCGUCCUGCUACAUUUCUUGGUUCCCUGACCGGGAAGCGACGUGAUUAAUGGAUGGUCGAGGCAGCCACUUAGGCCGCUUAGGCCUGCCCUGUGGAACAUCCCUGCGGGGGACUCGGACCAGCUCGAGCGAUGCGGAUCCUGAGAGCGCUCCUGGGUAGGCAAUUGCCUGGGUGGAACACCUCGUCAGAGCAGUGUGUGGCAGGCCCCUGCGGAGGAUCAACGUGGUGGCUGAACACCGGGAAGGAACUGGCACUUUAAGUCUGGACGUCUGAAACUUGAAACUCAUUAAUCUUCAAAGGCUUCAAGACUGGCACAGGUGAAUCCAAUAUUCCUAUAUGACCUACUUUACUGAACUGGAAAAACUGCAUGCUGACAGCACAAAUGAUCUGUAAGAAGAGAUGCAGGUUGUAUGAUAUGUCAGCCUCGCAGAGAACUUUCCAAAUACCACUGGGAGAACCAGAGCAACAUGACAGCUCCACAGUAUAGCCCAAAAUACUG